GACGGAGGGGGCGAGCGUUGUCCGGAAUUACUGGGCGUAAAGCGCACGUAGGCGGUCGCGUACGGCGGGGGUGAAAGCCCCCGGCUCAACUGGGGGAGGUCCCCCGCAACGGCGCGACUCGAGGCCGGUAGAGGCUCACGGAAUUCCUGGUGUAGCGGUGAAAUGCGUAGAGAUCAGGAGGAACACCCGUGGCGAAGGCGGUGAGCUGGGCCGGGCCUGACGCUGAGGUGCGAAAGCCAGGGGAGUGAACGGGAUUAGAUACCCCGGUAAUCCUGGCUGUAAACGAUGGAUACUAGGUGUCAGCGGUAUCGACCCCGCUGGUGCCGGAGCUAACGCGUGAAGUAUCCCGCCUGGGGAGUACGGCCGCAAGGUUG
Molecule: ribosomal RNA, 374 nt
Filed under: uncultured prokaryote
Description: bacterial SSU rRNA
Rfam family: Bacterial small subunit ribosomal RNA
Source: RNAcentral